RNAcentral lists this ribosomal RNA (433 nucleotides) under uncultured bacterium. Its description in RNAcentral is "partial 16S ribosomal RNA". It matches the Rfam family "Bacterial small subunit ribosomal RNA", at positions 29 to 507 of the family's 1533-position model. The record is from RNAcentral.
AACGAACGCUGGCGGCAUGCCUAACACAUGCAAGUCGAACGAGACCUUCGGGUCUAGUGGCGCACGGGUGCGUAACGCGUGGGAACCUGCCCUUAGGUUCGGAAUAACUCCCCGAAAGGGGUGCUAAUACCGGAUAAUGUCUUCGGACCAAAGAUUUAUCGCCUUUGGAUGGGCCCGCGUUGGAUUAGCUAGUUGGUAGGGUAAAAGCCUACCAAGGCGACGAUCCAUAGCUGGUCUGAGAGGAUGAUCAGCCACACUGGGACUGAGACACGGCCCAGACUCCUACGGGAGGCAGCAGUGGGGAAUAUUGGACAAUGGGCGAAAGCCUGAUCCAGCAAUGCCGCGUGAGUGAUGAAGGCCUUAGGGUUGUAAAGCCCUUUUACCCGGGAUGAUAAAGACAGUACCGGGAGAAUAAGCUCCGGCUAACUCCGUG